GUCUGAAUUGAGCUGACCAACUGCUUGACUUUAGUAUGUCGCACAUGCAUUUUGCUAAGGCCUCCUCAGGCGCUCUAGCCUCCACAACAAUAGCAAGAGACCAACAACCAGAGAAGAAGACUUGCUGGAGGUGCAGAGUCUCUGACUGCUGUGAAAAAAUAUUCUGCAAGGGAGGCCAGAGAGGCCCUCUGAAAGCAGGAGCCCUAUCAAAGCUCCAGAUGGGAGUGCAGAGGAGGUUGAUGAAGUAGUGGAGUUCAAAGCGCCCACUGAAGAAGAGGAGAAAAAAGCGAAGAAGUGAGCCAACGAGAAGAAGGCCGGACUGUCCAUUCUUUGUGCCUUAAUGGUCCAGGCAGUGUGCCAGAUACUGGCCAACUAGGACUUGC
Molecule: long non-coding RNA, 383 nt
Organism: Epinephelus fuscoguttatus (brown-marbled grouper)
Lineage: Eukaryota; Metazoa; Chordata; Actinopteri; Perciformes; Serranidae
Exons: 3
Source: RefSeq, a predicted model, not a curated record